GGUGGUACGUACCGAGACUCCUUCAAAAUAAGGCUAUUUGGAAAGAAGCUAUUCCACAAUCUCAUGUCUGGCUCCCAUCCAACGAAGAACGACUUUAUGCAUAGCUCAAUAGCCUUGUGAAGCUCAUCUACCACCUUCCGGUGCUUUAGCUGAAUUUCCUUGUUAGACUCGGCCCCAUUGUUCAUUGAUGGGUCAAGGACCAAAAUCUUUGCCCUUGCGAAGUCCCAAAUGUAUGUAGACCAUUUAAAGUCGAAUUUCACUGGAAGAACAAUCUGUUUUUUAUGAUAAAUAGUAGACAUACAAUGAGGUUAGGAACACAAAAUCAAAGUAUCAUAUAUAUUGUUUACUUGUUUAUUCAUCUAAA
Molecule: long non-coding RNA, 364 nt
Organism: Hordeum vulgare subsp. vulgare (domesticated barley)
Lineage: Eukaryota; Viridiplantae; Streptophyta; Magnoliopsida; Poales; Poaceae
Exons: 2
Source: RefSeq, a predicted model, not a curated record